CAGCACCUCAAGUGGUCAGGAUGAUUAUUGGGCCUAAAGCAUCCGUAGCCGGCGCGGUAAGUUUUCGGUUAAAUCUGUACGCUCAACGUACAGGCUGCCGGGAAUACUGCAGCGCUAGGGAGUGGGAGAGGUAGACGGUACUCGGUAGGAAGGGGUAAAAUCCUUUGAUCUAUUGAUGACCACCUGUGGCGAAGGCGGUCUACCAGAACACGUCCGACGGUGAGGGAUGAAAGCUGGGGGAGCAAACCGGAUUAGAUACCCGAGUAGUCC
Molecule: ribosomal RNA, 270 nt
Filed under: uncultured archaeon
Lineage: Archaea
Description: partial 16S ribosomal RNA
Rfam family: Archaeal small subunit ribosomal RNA
Source: RNAcentral